This 2530-nucleotide long non-coding RNA is filed under the name Capsella grandiflora. RNAcentral describes it as "long non-coding RNA (CGRA_LNC000564)". Lineage: Eukaryota; Viridiplantae; Streptophyta; Magnoliopsida; Brassicales; Brassicaceae. The record is from RNAcentral.
CUUGGUAUGGUUCGUUCAAAAUUUUCUGAUUUAUUUAUUUUGGUUUCAUUUGGUUUAGUUCGGUUUAGUUCUGUUCAAAUUUUUUUGAACUUGUUUAUUUUGGCUUGCUUUGGUUUGUUUUUCGUGGUCGAAAACUUUGGUUUUUGUUUUGUUUAUAUAUUUUCGGAUAUAUUUAUCUUGGUUUAAUUCGGUUCGGUUUAAAAAAAUUUCGGAUUUAUUUAUUUUGGUUUGGUUCGGUUCGGUACUUUGUCUAUAAACUAAUCGAAACUGGUUGAAUUUUGGAUAGGUUCAGCAGAAUCACCAAGUGGAUUAGCGUCGGGUCCUUCGGCUCCACGAAUAAGCAAUGCACCAAGCAUUGCAACUUAUUCUCUUUUUCUCAACCUUAUAAUUUUCCCAUUAGCUUUUGCAUUCCAUACCUAUUGCUGAUUUCAUUAUCUUCCUACCAUUAACAACACUAUUAUUUCGUAUUGUAUUUUCUUAAGAGAGUAUUGUUUCUUUUGUACGUUAUGAUGUUCUUGAAUCUUUUUACUUUGUGUAUUCACGGAUUAGAUUAUUCUUCAUUCAUCAUAUUGAAUAAAGAUUCGUGUUUUCUAUAACUAACUAUAAUUAACCAAAACCAAAUCAUAUUCUAAGACUUGAAACCAUGGUUGUCUAUUGUUAUUGACUUUUGGGCAUCUUCCAAAAUCAUUGUUAUUGUAUUUUUUCACCAUAGGAAUGAGUCCAUUGCCUGUCAAUAUGUAACGAGCAUGAAUCAUACCGUAUAAAGUCUCGGCUGCUGACUCGAUCCAUUCGUUUUGUUCUUCUGUAAUCAUCCCACCUGUUUUAAACCCCGUCAUCAAUGCCAAAACAUGCAUCACUAAAAAAUAUAAAAUCCCCAUAGACUUACCACAAGAAGAAGAUUCUGCAUCAAGAAUUAAAUCGAGAGCAUAGUCAUAGUAAGGAACUUGAUGGCUAAGUCCAAACGAGUUGCAGUCAUCUAGGAUGUAAUCAUCAUCCACUUCACAUAAGAAUUUGUUCUCACGAAGGUUACAGAACCAGGAAAUCCAUGAGCUGUCUUCUUUGUCGGAACCACUGAUAUCUCUGAUUCUUCUGAUAUAUCUACAAAAAAACGCAAUUUAUAAGAAAGAUUUGCUUGAACCAUGAAAACAAAAGCUGAGUUUUAAGGGUCAUUUCACCAAAAUCAGGAGUCGAAUCGAACAAUAUGCCAUUACAAUAGAGCGAGUAGAGGCGAUUAAUUCUCACCGUCGGAAAUGUUAGAAUGUUGUGGCCGUUGCGGCUUUGAUGAUGAAUCUAUUAAUCAUCUCCUGUUUGAAUGUCCACCCGCAACCCAAGUGUGGGCUGUAUCAUCAAUACCCUGUGGUCCGGGGAUAUUCCCGAGUAAUUCUUUAUACAUAAAUUUCGACUAUUUGUUCUGGAGAGCGAAGCAUCUGGGAGUUCCUAAAGAUCAAAUUGAGAAGUUCCCUUGGAUCCUAUGGUACAUAUGGAAAGCAAGAAAUGAAAAGGUUUUCAAAGGAAAGGAUAUAUCUCCACUGGACACGGCACAAAUAGCAGAUGCAGAAGCCAUUAGUUGGAGGUUAGCAAAAACGCUAGAGGAAGUGGUGGAAACAGACUUUGAGCCUUUGCCGGAACAGCCCCAACAGAACUAGGUGAUUGAAUCCGGUCGUUGUCAAUUGGACGCUUCAUGGCAGAGCGAGGAUAGUUUCUCGGGGUUUGGGUUUUGCCUUGGAUGCAGGGAACACGAGAUUGCUAGGAUCGAAAUGUACUACUUGUUUACUAUCUCUCCUUCAGGCGGAACUCACAGCUUUGCUUUGGGCAAUGGAAACAAUUCUCUCACUUGGACAUACCUCCAUCAGGUUUGAAAUGGACUGCUCAACAUUGCUAAAGGUGACUGAUGAGGAAGAAGAUUGGCCACUAUUUGCAACUGAAUUAGAACAUUUUAAAAGUCUUAAAGCAUCUUUUGUGGAUUUUUCCAUUCUUUGUAUCCCCGUAGUAAAUGUCCGUGCUGAUGCCCUUGCAAAAGGUGCUAGAGUACGAGGUUAUAAGUUUUCCCAUGUAAGUCCGUUGGUUCCGGAGUGGCUGCCUCACGAGGCUAACCUAUUCGAACAUGUUUAAUAAAGUAUGGUGCUUUUGAUGUCAAAAAAGAAAAAAAAAAGGAAAGGUCCAUAUCCACACCGAAAUCAUUGUAAUCGUCAUACACACCGUAAUUGGAAUUAUCAUCUUUCUUGGACGACAUGGAAAAAAACACAUCAUGCCUUUGCCCUUCUUGUUCUUGCCGUAUGUGUAAAUCUGAUCAUAAGAAGAGACUUAUUAUGUGAAGAUGCAGAGGCAAAACGGUAUCCAUUGAUGAUGGUACCAGCCAAGAAGGUAGUGCCAAGGGAGCAUAAAGAAGAUUCCAUGGCCUGAACUGAAUAGAAGAACUAUAUGACAAGAGUAAAGAAAUUAGCAUAGGCUAUAUAACUCUCAAAGCCAACAAGAAAAAAAAUAGAGAAAGCUAGCAGAUCAGAGAAGAGAAGAGGGAUUUAAAACCUAG